UGCUGUCGUCAUGACCGCGCCAUUGCAGCGGUGGGUGUUGCCCGUAUACACUGACUGUGUGGUGAACAGUGAUUGGCAUAAGUCAAGCAGGAAUUUAAACGCGCAUACCAAAGCUAAGGUUACAGCCAAUGUUGAUCCGUGACACCAUCAGCUGCUGCUAGUUGAAGCACAUGCAGUACUUCGUAGCCCCGUUGAAUGCUACAUGUCGCUCACUGUUGAUCAUGGUUAAUCCGUCGGCGACGCAAGGAGAGGACGGACAUAAGUUCACGCGGUCCCAAACCGACAGAUUGGUACAUUUCGUCGCCGCGACAGUGCAAAUUCCAGUGUCCCUUUCAAUAAUAAUCAAUGCAAUAUGCAUGGUUGUCUACAACUUCUUCCUGGCCAAUGUCGCCGCGGGAUUCUGGUGCCCCGUUUUCUUCAUCGUCUCAAGUGUCCUUGGGAUCUUAUUCACUAUUUUCCCGCAGCCAAAUCUCCGUCAACUCAGCCUCCUGAGUUGUCUCAUGAACAUGACCAUAUUCUACAUGGUUGUGAUACUGAUAGGAAUGAUAGGCGCGGCGGCGGAUGAUGAUGUGCCUAAAAACAAAAUUAGGAUUGUGCCUCAUAUUAUGAACAUCGUCUUGGGAUUAAUUGGCUUUAUGGCAUCUUUUAUACAAGCCACGACAGUCGGAUGGAAGAAAAAAGAAAACCGACACAGUGUUGAGACAACUCAGACUCUUGAAUUGGUCACAUUGGGUGACAAUUCAUCACAAUGUCGUGGACCCCACACAAGUCUCCAUGUGCCUGAAGGCCAUACCGCUGCCCGCCCAAUCACUCCACGCUCCCCCGUGCUAGGCUCAUCAUUUCGUCAAGUCGGUUUGCCAAUCCCACCGUCCACUCCUCAUGAAGACAGGGCUUCGCUCUCAGGACGAACAGAGGACUUCAGACAACUUUAUGAGGAUUAUUACAAUGGGAAUAACCAUAGUGGUAGACUAAGAAACGUGGAGAGUCUUGAUAUACUGACCUGAUGAUAUCCGUCCCGACCUCCCAUGGCCAGAACACACAAAAACUAUUUCAGUGAAAAUUUUCGAAAAUCUGUGUAUUGCGAUUUUCCGAUUAUAUUUUGCCUUGUAUUCUUGUGCAUUUCCGAUGCAUUAAUAUAUGUUAUUUGUAAGAACAAAAUCCAUUAAACAAAUAAAAAAUGUA
Molecule: long non-coding RNA, 1182 nt
Organism: Lineus longissimus
Lineage: Eukaryota; Metazoa; Nemertea; Pilidiophora; Heteronemertea; Lineidae
Exons: 2
Source: RefSeq, a predicted model, not a curated record